RNAcentral lists this ribosomal RNA (468 nucleotides) under uncultured bacterium. RNAcentral's name for it is "partial 16S ribosomal RNA". It matches the Rfam family "Bacterial small subunit ribosomal RNA", at positions 28 to 507 of the family's 1533-position model. The record is from RNAcentral.
GACGAACGCUGGCGGCGUGCUUAACACAUGCAAGUCGAACGGAAAGGCCCUGCUUUUGUGGGGUGCUCGAGUGGCGAACGGGUGAGUAACACGUGAGUAACCUGCCCUUGACUUUGGGAUAACUUCAGGAAACUGGGGCUAAUACCGGAUAGGAGCUCCUGCUGCAUGGUGGGGGUUGGAAAGUUUCGGCGGUUGGGGAUGGACUCGCGGCUUAUCAGCUUGUUGGUGGGGUAGUGGCUUACCAAGGCUUUGACGGGUAGCCGGCCUGAGAGGGUGACCGGCAACAUGGGAAGUGAGAAGCGGCCGAGACACGUGGGGGAGGAGGAAGGGGGAAUUAUGGCAAAGGGGGCGGAAGCCUGAGACAACAACCCGGGGGGCGGAAAACCGGCUUGGGGGUUAUAAACCGCUUUCGCCGGUGAAGAAGGGAGAGUGAGGGUAGAGGAAAAAGAAGACCAGGCAAACUACGUG